This 1492-nucleotide ribosomal RNA is filed under the name Lacticaseibacillus casei. RNAcentral describes it as "bacterial SSU rRNA". It matches the Rfam family "Bacterial small subunit ribosomal RNA". Lineage: Bacteria; Bacillati; Bacillota; Bacilli; Lactobacillales; Lactobacillaceae. RNAcentral also lists the same sequence under 4 other names. The record is from RNAcentral.
GAUGAACGCUGGCGGCGUGCCUAAUACAUGCAAGUCGAACGAGUUCUCGUUGAUGAUCGGUGCUUGCACCGAGAUUCAACAUGGAACGAGUGGCGGACGGGUGAGUAACACGUGGGUAACCUGCCCUUAAGUGGGGGAUAACAUUUGGAAACAGAUGCUAAUACCGCAUAGAUCCAAGAACCGCAUGGUUCUUGGCUGAAAGAUGGCGUAAGCUAUCGCUUUUGGAUGGACCCGCGGCGUAUUAGCUAGUUGGUGAGGUAAUGGCUCACCAAGGCGAUGAUACGUAGCCGAACUGAGAGGUUGAUCGGCCACAUUGGGACUGAGACACGGCCCAAACUCCUACGGGAGGCAGCAGUAGGGAAUCUUCCACAAUGGACGCAAGUCUGAUGGAGCAACGCCGCGUGAGUGAAGAAGGCUUUCGGGUCGUAAAACUCUGUUGUUGGAGAAGAAUGGUCGGCAGAGUAACUGUUGUCGGCGUGACGGUAUCCAACCAGAAAGCCACGGCUAACUACGUGCCAGCAGCCGCGGUAAUACGUAGGUGGCAAGCGUUAUCCGGAUUUAUUGGGCGUAAAGCGAGCGCAGGCGGUUUUUUAAGUCUGAUGUGAAAGCCCUCGGCUUAACCGAGGAAGCGCAUCGGAAACUGGGAAACUUGAGUGCAGAAGAGGACAGUGGAACUCCAUGUGUAGCGGUGAAAUGCGUAGAUAUAUGGAAGAACACCAGUGGCGAAGGCGGCUGUCUGGUCUGUAACUGACGCUGAGGCUCGAAAGCAUGGGUAGCGAACAGGAUUAGAUACCCUGGUAGUCCAUGCCGUAAACGAUGAAUGCUAGGUGUUGGAGGGUUUCCGCCCUUCAGUGCCGCAGCUAACGCAUUAAGCAUUCCGCCUGGGGAGUACGACCGCAAGGUUGAAACUCAAAGGAAUUGACGGGGGCCCGCACAAGCGGUGGAGCAUGUGGUUUAAUUCGAAGCAACGCGAAGAACCUUACCAGGUCUUGACAUCUUUUGAUCACCUGAGAGAUCAGGUUUCCCCUUCGGGGGCAAAAUGACAGGUGGUGCAUGGUUGUCGUCAGCUCGUGUCGUGAGAUGUUGGGUUAAGUCCCGCAACGAGCGCAACCCUUAUGACUAGUUGCCAGCAUUUAGUUGGGCACUCUAGUAAGACUGCCGGUGACAAACCGGAGGAAGGUGGGGAUGACGUCAAAUCAUCAUGCCCCUUAUGACCUGGGCUACACACGUGCUACAAUGGAUGGUACAACGAGUUGCGAGACCGCGAGGUCAAGCUAAUCUCUUAAAGCCAUUCUCAGUUCGGACUGUAGGCUGCAACUCGCCUACACGAAGUCGGAAUCGCUAGUAAUCGCGGAUCAGCACGCCGCGGUGAAUACGUUCCCGGGCCUUGUACACACCGCCCGUCACACCAUGAGAGUUUGUAACACCCGAAGCCGGUGGCGUAACCCUUUUAGGGAGCGAGCCGUCUAAGGUGGGACAAAUGAUUAGGGUG